Molecule: unclassified non-coding RNA, 2122 nt
Filed under: Hevea brasiliensis (rubber tree)
Lineage: Eukaryota; Viridiplantae; Streptophyta; Magnoliopsida; Malpighiales; Euphorbiaceae
Source: RNAcentral
UGGAGAAAACAAAGAAAGAAAGUUCUCUCUGUCAUUUAAGAGUUCGUACUUUAAGGGUGUUCAUUUAUCUUUACUCAAAUGGAAGUUCAGUCCUAAUCAUUCCUCACUGCCUAUAUUUUCAUUCAUUGGCAACCAUGGACAAAUGAAAGUGACAUCUGCUGCAGUCCCCAAUCUGGUCAUAUUAGAAGAAAAGGAAUUCUGGUUCAAUGAACUUAAAUGAUUAUGUUCUUAUGGCUCCUGAGAAAGUCUUGCAGGCUAGAAUCAUCCCCAGGGAUAAUCAGCAGGUUCCUCAAGUUCUCAUCAAAUAGCACGGGAGUUCUUGGAGGAAUGUUCUGGAAGGAAGGAAGACCCAGUGCCCUGUCUUGCAUCUGGUGGUGUUAUGGUCAACCAUACUGACAGCAAAUUUGAGCACAUAAAUGUGUUAGUGACUUCUGGAUCAUUGAUACCCAGUCUUGUCAAGUGUUUACUCUUUCGGCUUGACAAUUUGAUAACACAUGGAAAUGGUUAGUCAUCUCCUUUAUCUCAUUUAUAUUUAAUUAUGUCCAAUUUAGCCAGCUUUAUUUCAGCAAUAAUCUGUCUGUCUUUGCAUGUGGUGUGGUGUUGUCUAAUCAUAUUGUAUUUGGAUGCUCGAAAUUAGUUUCCUUCAUACAUAAGAAGUGUAUUUGCCUAUCUUAGAUAAUUCCAAAGUUAUGGCUUGAACAUGGUGCAGAAUUCUUGAUUUCAAUCUAUAAAUUUAAUAGUAAUAUUGUAUUUCUUGAUUUUUUUUUUAUUUAAACCUCACAUAAAUACAAGAUGAAGAACUUCUCGACUGAUGAUAAUAAUGAACAUUAUCAUUUCUUGUUUUGGAAUUUCAAUCAUUAGUCAUUAUCUCUAAAUAUUUCUAGAAAAUAUCCAUUACACUGACACUGCUGGGGUAUCGCGUGAUAUCAAAGGGUAUGAAUAUGAUCCCUACUCCUUCCUUUCUCUUUUUUAUAUUUGUUUCCUUUGACUGAAAGGCAACCUUGAUUGAUUUUACUAAAGCAACUGAAAAAUCUUAUUGUACUUUAAGUUAGAAUUAGGGCAUCCAUCUGGUAAUUUAGACUACUCUUGCCUAGAGUUGAAAUUGGGCCCCAAGGCACAGUAGCAAUAAUACCCAACUAUGCAUUGCCUUUUCAAAAACCAAAUAAAUGUAUCCUUGAUGAAUGUUUCCUGUCAUAAUCUGCUAUGCCCUCACCAAUUUUAAAUGUUCUAGAACUUAAAACUGAUAUGUGGCAUCAAAAUAUUUCCACCCCAAGAUAAUAUGGGCUUAUCUUGCAACUCAUAACUUGUCUUACAUCUUUGGCCAGGGCCAUAGAAGUUAACGUUUUAUGGACUUAAAUUGAUGAUCAUAUGCAUCAUUUGAAUGCUUCUUUCAACAACAAAAAUGAAACUUGCCACCUUGGCAUACUAAAUUGGAUUCCUUUUAGAUUCUACUGGGACUAGGCUAGUAUAAAUUUGAUGCCAAACUUUUGACUUCAAAUUGAUUCAAUUAAAAAAAAAAAAGAAGAAAGAAAGAAAGAUCCUAGGAUAUUAACAAGCCAGUAAAAAAUUCUCAACUCAGACAUUGUUUCCCUAGUUCACCCUACAAUAUAGAGGCUUUUCCAAAUAUUUAUAGUAACUAGAGGUGCAAAUCAAAAGAAGCCUAAAACUACGAAAAUAUUAUGAAAAUACGUUUGAACUUCAGUUCAAGCCCUAAACAGAUGGUUAGGCAUUGGAGUAGUCCUGUCCAAAUCUUCAUUUUUUGAGUCAAGAUCAUCAAUUAGUGAAGGUUUAUUUGAGGCGAAUGAGAGCAAUUAAUCACACUUCCAAUUCCAUAUUUUGCAAAAGGUGAGCUAAUUGCAUUUAUUGUUGGUGUUUUAGCUCAUUUGUUAAAAAAAAAAUUAUGGUUUAUGCUGAGUUGUUUAUGAAAUUUGUAGUAUGAAGCAUUAAUUUGCCAAAUCUAUAGGUUAUUGUCUUUUUUUCCCCUCUAGUUUUUUGCUUUUUUAAGAAUUAUUUUUAAUAAAAUACAGAAGUAAUAGAAAAAUAACAUCAAGAGUUUUAUGUUUCAUUAAUGUUAGCUUAGUAUAUAUUUUGACUUAGGCAAGAUAAAAUUUAAGAAAAAUUA